UUAUCACAGCAAAUCGGAGCGAAACUCGACCGCGAUAACAGGAAAAAGUCGAAAACUUCACUCGAAUCAUCUUCUCGACACGAUUCUGUUGAAGGAUGCUCCUGGAUCGAAGAAGAUUGA
Caenorhabditis elegans is the source of this 120-nucleotide long non-coding RNA. Ensembl annotates it as ncRNA. Its record names the gene Y48C3A.1. The record is from Ensembl. NCBI's taxonomy places the organism in Eukaryota, Metazoa, Nematoda, Chromadorea, Rhabditida, Rhabditidae.